This 465-nucleotide ribosomal RNA is filed under the name Vreelandella stevensii. RNAcentral describes it as "partial 16S ribosomal RNA". It matches the Rfam family "Bacterial small subunit ribosomal RNA", at positions 338 to 795 of the family's 1533-position model. Lineage: Bacteria; Pseudomonadati; Pseudomonadota; Gammaproteobacteria; Oceanospirillales; Halomonadaceae. The record is from RNAcentral.
CCUACGGGAGGCUGCAGUGGGGAAUAUUGGACAAUGGGCGAAAGCCUGAUCCAGCCAUGCCGCGUGUGUGAAGAAGGCCUUCGGGUUGUAAAGCACUUUCAGUGGGGAAGAAAGCCUUGGGGCUAAUACCCUCGAGGAAGGACAUCACCCACAGAAGAAGCACCGGCUAACUCCGUGCCAGCAGCCGCGGUAAUACGGAGGGUGCGAGCGUUAAUCGGAAUUACUGGGCGUAAAGCGCGCGUAGGCGGUCUGAUAAGCCGGUUGUGAAAGCCCCGGGCUCAACCUGGGAACGGCAUCCGGAACUGUCAGGCUAGAGUGCAGGAGAGGAAGGUAGAAUUCCCGGUGUAGCGGUGAAAUGCGUAGAGAUCGGGAGGAAUACCAGUGGCGAAGGCGAUCUUCUGGACUGACACUGACGCUGAGGUGCGAAAGCGUGGGUAGCAAACAGGAUUAGAUACCCUAGUAGUC